Molecule: long non-coding RNA, 341 nt
Filed under: Musa acuminata (dwarf banana)
Lineage: Eukaryota; Viridiplantae; Streptophyta; Magnoliopsida; Zingiberales; Musaceae
Description: long non-coding RNA (MACU_LNC008731)
Source: RNAcentral
UGCAGCUGGAGCAGAAGAUUGAAGACUUAGCAAAGGCAAGGAGUUGCAGUGUCGGCAAAGGCUUCGACGCGGACGUCGAAGGAAUAAGUGGGAGAGAAUGUCACGGACAAACUUCUAAACAGGAUGUUUUAUGUAAUGCUUAUGUAUGUCCGUGUCUUUUGGUAUGUUCAUACUUUGUACAGCAUGUAGAGGGAUGACCAAAGACUUAAUAGUCUCAUUUUAGUUGGGUUGGUGGCCGCUUUAGGCUUGUAAAUAAAGGUUGUGUCAUGUGGACACGUGUGAGAGAUUUUCGAUCUAUAAUGGACCAUUUUACCCUUUGUUGUGCAACUGUUCAGAGCUUG